CGAGACUCGGGGACCCCCAUCACCCUCGCCGAGCCGCGGGUAACUCUCCUGGUACGACACUUGAUAUACUCGGACCUUUCACACGUUGCCUCACUGAUGGUGCGAAGUGAUGGAUCACUUUGAUUUCAGCGUGCACUGCCCUCCUUCCUAAUGAGGCUGAGCAUCUUUACCAGUGUUUACUCCUCCGGAUGGAGCAGUCUGGCGCUUCCAUUGAACUCAGAUGGAGUCUUGCUUUGUUGCCCAGGCUGGAGUGCAGUGGCGCAAUCUCGGCUCACUGC
This is a long non-coding RNA of Piliocolobus tephrosceles (Ugandan red Colobus), 278 nucleotides long. RefSeq lists it as uncharacterized. Lineage: Eukaryota; Metazoa; Chordata; Mammalia; Primates; Cercopithecidae. The transcript is spliced from 3 exons. The record is from RefSeq and is a predicted model, not a curated record.